RNAcentral lists this long non-coding RNA (611 nucleotides) under Neogobius melanostomus (round goby). RNAcentral describes it as "lncRNA (ENSNMLG00000001960.1)". Lineage: Eukaryota; Metazoa; Chordata; Actinopteri; Gobiiformes; Gobiidae. The record is from RNAcentral.
UAUGACUGUCUCUUCCUCAAGAUCUCAAGAAAACACUCUGUUCCUCUUACUGAUGUCAUGAGGUGGUGCUCCUCCAUGUUCUGUUUUAAACAAAAAUAGACUGAAUACAAUGUAAAAUUCUUAUUAAUUGUGCGCUCAAAUUUUAGUGGGACCCUCACCUCAGUGCCUCAGCCCAGCCCGCACUGGGAACCUCUGUACUAUCAGACAUUUCCUGGUAAACUGUCUUGCACUACCCAAUGUUGCCAGUAGAUGUCAUGGUUCCUCCUUUAGAUGUUUCCUGUGAGCUGUAAUCAGAUGGAGCUGAGGAUAAACCAGUGCUCCUCGUCCUGCUGCAUCACACUCGUAAAGUGGAGCAGGUGCUGAAGCCGAGCAACUGGAAGGAGGAGUUCCCCAACAUCACUCUGGAAGUCCAAGUUCUGUAUCAUGAGUCUCAGAACGGUCUGCUGCAGGACUGUCCCAGGAACCAGGAGGCCAUUCAGACCCUCGUGAGCCUGAGCCAUGAACUCCAGACCACUGUGAAGACUGAACCUAAGCCCAAAAGAUGUUGCUGUACAUUGUUAUAAAAGAAUGACUCAAUUGUAAUUCAACCUUAGCUGACUACUUCAUUGUUU